This 497-nucleotide ribosomal RNA is filed under the name uncultured bacterium. RNAcentral describes it as "partial 16S ribosomal RNA". It matches the Rfam family "Bacterial small subunit ribosomal RNA", at positions 28 to 507 of the family's 1533-position model. The record is from RNAcentral.
GAUGAACGCUGGCGGCGUGCCUAAUACAUGCAAGUCGAGCGAACAGACGAGGAGCUUGCUCCUCUGACGUUAGCGGCGGACGGGUGAGUAACACGUGGAUAACCUACCUAUAAGACUGGGAUAACUUCGGGAAACCGGAGCUAAGACCGGAUAAUAUAUUGAACCUCAUGGUUCAAUAGUGAAAUACGGUUUUGCUGUCACUAAUAGAUGGAUCCGCGCCGCAUUAGCUAGUUGGUAAGGUAACGGCUUACCAAGGCAACGAUGCGUAGCCGACCUGAGAGGGUGAUCGACCAGCCGGGAACUGAGACACGGUCCAGACUCCUACGGGAGGCAGCAGUAGGGAAUCUUCCGCAAUGGGGGAAAGCUUGACGGAGCAACGCCGCGUGAGUGAUGAAGGUCUUCGGAUCGUAAAACUCUGUUAGUAGGGAAGAACAAAUGUGUAAGUACCUAUGCACGUAUUGACGGUACCUAAUCAGAAAGCCACGGCUAACUACGUG